GUUUGGGACCAUGAGACCUCCCACUCCUGGGGCCAGAAGGAGUUGCUGAGAAGGAGCUGUGGUUCUGACCUUCAGGGGAAUUCCCACGUCUGUAUGGUGGCUCGUGAAGAGCAUGGUUCCUUUUCUCAGCCCUCUUGAGGGGCGAGGAUGCUGAGGACUGAAGUCGGGCCUGCUCUCUGUCAUGUGAUGCUAUACUACAGCCAGGCUGGAAUUUGGUGUCUUAUUGCUACAAAGAAUCAGCUUUGUCAAUCCUAAGGUCACUGAGAGGCUGCCAGAGGGCCAUUUUCAUGACCAGAGGGAUCUGUUCAACACCCUGUGGGUCCCAGCACCUAUCUCAGGAAGCAGGGUGCAUCUGUCCACCACCAAGUCUCAGGGUGGCUGGGUGAGCGCUCAUCAGUCCCAGACAGCAGGUUGGCACAAAACGACACUGCCCACAAAACCACAGGAAGAAGAGAAACUCCGACUGUCUUUCAGCACACAGAAGACACUGUACUGGACCCGGACAUUAGGCAGACACCCACGCCUGACUUUCAGGAGAAAAGAGAACAUGACUAACGGAUAUUCUUAGUAGAUGGUUUAUUAGAAAAGAGAACAUCUUCCAGCAUGUGUCCUGGGGUGAUGGGUGUGGGAAGCACUCAGUCCAUAGUCCUGGUCCCUGGCUUCCCCAAGCCCAGCACCAUGAAUGUACAGUGGAAAGCAGAGGGUGCAGCGUCUCAGAAAGAUGCUUCCACUCACAAGGAUUGGAGCUCACAAGUGAGCUCCAUAACCUGCAAACCAGAGAAACCUGAGACACUGCCCCUUGGCCAUUUUAUCAACGGAGACUUUAUUGUGAUUAUCCCGGCAGGGGGCCGAGCUCUCCUCUCUGCAACAGGAAAUGCUCUUUAGUGAAAAUGCAGCAUUUCUCCAAGGGUAACAAAGCUGAACGCCUGCUUAGCUUAUGAACCCUCAGUUGGCCUAGGUGGUGCAAAGACCCUGCUGUUACUGCUUUGAUCAUCAGUACUGUGGACUGUACCAGGAGAUCCCUGGGAAUGUGCUCUGGGCGGAAGCAGCUUUUAUCUUUGGCCCUCACCCAUGCUUUAUAUGGUGAGGUUGGGAAAAUGGCACAAGGCUUCUCCUGAACCUCAAAUCAACACCCUUGCCCCAUUUAGAUCCUAUCUGGCUGUUUCUUGCUAAUAUUACUGCAUCACUGCACCAUCUUUCCUAUUUCAGCAAAGUGGAGUCAUGUGUGGUUUAUGGGGUAGAUGGACCCCAAAACUGAUAAUAUGAAUCAAGCUAUGGUGUUUACUCCCUAGGAAAUGCACAAUUUUUCUGGAAACCUACAGAAGCUUCAAAUGCAUUCGCCAUGCAAAGCUAAGUCAGCAGAACAACCCGUUUGGCUUUGGAGGCUAGUUCAGUUCCGCGGACAGGGAGAAAGAUGAGGCAGACUGUGGUUUUUCAGUUCCUGGAGCUUACGGAGCUCCAAAGCUCCCUCUCUUCCCACCCUGGCUGCACUGUUCUUAAUUUUAGAUAAUACCCUGCCUUCUCGUAUUGCUGCUGAGCUCCUAGCAUCCUCAGUUUAUCUGUCUGUGAAAUGAAAAAUCUAAUGUUAAAUUUUUUACCUAUGGCAUGAGAGAGAUGGCUAUGGCUCUUGUGAGCCUCUCUGCAGCCCCUCUUUUCCUUCAAUCACCCUCUGUCUCUCCUGCCUUCUGCUUAUUCUCUCUCUCCCCUCAUCCCCACUUUCCCAGUGGGUCCUCUGUUCUCUUUUUUUUUUUCUUUUUAAAUCUCUCUAUGCCUCCAGCCGAGAAGAUAAAGAGUGUACAUCUUUCUGGUUAAAAAGUUUUGCUUUGCAGAAACACAGCCAAUUUAUGAUUCUGGCCUUCCCAGCUAGGGACAGUGUUCAUUUACAUUUAGGACCAUGAGGAGAGAGGCUUAGCUGUGUGUUUCUGAGGCCGGAGAAAAUUACAGUGAUAUAUAACAGUGCUGCACUCAUAGAGGUGCUGAGCCGGGGUUGGGCUCAGGCGGCCGCUAAGCUCAGAGUGGAAAGUUUCAGAGGGGAGGCAGAAAGGAGAGGUCUAUAGCUCCUCCAGAUUCUAGGUAUUAAUUUACUAAGAUAUUCCUAAGCCAGAAAACAGAGACAGAAGACAAAGAGAAAGAGGGAAGAAGAGCAAGACAGAGAGUUAGAGAGAGACAAAGAGAGAGAGUUAGAGACAAAGAGAGAGUGGAGAGGAGAGAGAGCAAAUAUUG
RNAcentral lists this long non-coding RNA (2223 nucleotides) under Homo sapiens (human). RNAcentral describes it as "non-protein coding LINC01366:3". The record is from RNAcentral. Lineage: Eukaryota; Metazoa; Chordata; Mammalia; Primates; Hominidae.